Molecule: long non-coding RNA, 326 nt
Filed under: Pan troglodytes (chimpanzee)
Lineage: Eukaryota; Metazoa; Chordata; Mammalia; Primates; Hominidae
Description: long non-coding RNA NONPTRT001676
Source: RNAcentral
AAAGCUCAACUUACUUAACUUACUUUCUUCAGCAAUGUGUCUUUCAGAUCCUUCUUUAUUUUUGCGUAGCUGAGGCCAUUUCUGAAGCCAAAAAGAAAAAAAGAAAAAGAAAAACAACAACAACAAAAAAAACCAGCUGACACGACCGUACAGUAUAAAUAAAAACGAAGAAACUUUAUGUUGGAUCAAGUUGAUAAAUUACUGUUCAACCAGCAGCCUCUCUAGCAAGGGCAGCUAUCUGAGCUGAAGACACCUGGACUGCUCUCUGACUCAACUCUUACGAGUUCUGCUCAUACCACCGAGUCAAGGCUUUAACAGUAUUUGCA